UACGGAAGGCAGCAGUGGGGAAUAUUGCACAAUGGGCGCAAGCCUGAUGCAGCCAUGCCGCGUGUAUGAAGAAGGCCUUCGGGUUGUAAAGUACUUUCAGUCGUGAGGAAGGUGUUAAGGUUAAUAACCUUAGCAAUUGACGUUAGCGACAGAAGAAGCACCGGCUAACUCCGUGCCAGCAGCCGCGGUAAUACGGAGGGUGCGAGCGUUAAUCGGAAUUACUGGGCGUAAAGGGCACGCAGGCGGUUAAUUAAGUUGGAUGUGAAAUCCCCGGGCUUAACCUGGGAAUGGCAUUCAAGACUGGUUAGCUAGAGUCUUGUAGAGGGGGUAGAAUUCCAUGUGUAGCGGUGAAAUGCGUAGAGAUGUGGAGGAAUCCGGUGGCGAAGGCGGCCCCUGGACAAAGACUGACGCUCGAUGUGCGAAAGCGUGGGGA
RNAcentral lists this ribosomal RNA (433 nucleotides) under uncultured bacterium. RNAcentral describes it as "bacterial SSU rRNA". It matches the Rfam family "Bacterial small subunit ribosomal RNA", at positions 340 to 767 of the family's 1533-position model. The record is from RNAcentral.